AUAACAAAUAAGUGGCGCAGUAUCCUAGUCAGCGCAUACGAUUCCCAGGACGGGCCUAAAAAUCCGUAGAAGGGCAUAUCGAUGAAGUCUCUGGUGUUUGCUUCUUACGCCCAGUUUGGGGUGGAUGCUGGAGGUUAAGGCUUGCGGGCGCGCUUCAAUGGCAUGAAGUACCGACCCUCUCGCCGUGGAGACCUGUAUGCGUGGGACACCUAUAGCAUCGCUUUGAUUGAUGGAUGUUCUACGGUGCAGGAUGAAACCUGUAUUGCGGUGCGGCGUGACUGUGCGUGUUCUCCCGCCCGCCCCCUUUUGGGGGCGGGAAAAUGGGCGGCGCACACAAGCAAAACGCUGUGUGCAGUGUAGCCUGCCUUGCGUGGCCAUGGUGGAUAGCGUAUCCGCCCGCGGUUUCCCGGCCAGGAACGCCGCGGGAAUUGACGGUUGAAACCAUGUCUGCAAAAGAGGCUAAGAAUCGUGUUGCCUGCAGUGGAAAUCACCUAGGCUGUUCGCAAAGAGGCAGAUCGAGGAUUGCAGUGCGGACUCAGUGGCAAUUCGGUCCCGGUGAUGGCAACAUCCCGGCACGGACUUUAAUGGGAAACCCCCACGACGGCGACGCGUGGCAGUCCGCGGGGAAAGCCAACCGAACCUCAAGCCGCAAGAUUUACUCGAUCUGCCGCCACUUUUAUCAA
RNAcentral lists this small RNA (683 nucleotides) under uncultured Agathobaculum sp. The record is from RNAcentral. Lineage: Bacteria; Bacillati; Bacillota; Clostridia; Eubacteriales; Butyricicoccaceae.